GAUGAAAGACCACGGCGGGAGGCUUUCCGAAAGGACAGCCAGUAGAUGUCCGGUUCUACUGGCUGGCAGCGAUGGACGGAGUAGACGUAUGUCUCUUCUGAAGCCGAUCAAGCCUCCCCCUGAACCCCACCCUUGCUUUUUGCGCACCCAUUGUUUCCUCGGCAGGCUUGCUUGCCAGUAGGACCCUUUUCAACCCUUUGUAUUUGCAGUCCGCGUCAGAAAACAACGUAAUCGUUA
Molecule: unclassified non-coding RNA, 237 nt
Filed under: uncultured Pleosporales
Lineage: Eukaryota; Fungi; Ascomycota; Dothideomycetes; Pleosporales
Description: sequence contains ITS1
Source: RNAcentral